Molecule: ribosomal RNA, 324 nt
Filed under: uncultured cyanobacterium
Lineage: Bacteria; Bacillati; Cyanobacteriota
Description: bacterial SSU rRNA
Rfam family: Bacterial small subunit ribosomal RNA
Source: RNAcentral
AGAGGGAUACAUGGAACGGAAUGCUAAUACCCAUAUGCUUCGAGUGAAUGAUUUAUAUUUAUCCGCCUAGAGAGAAGCUCGCGGCUGAUUAGCUUGUUGGUAAGGUAAGAGCUUACCAAGGCGACGAUCAGUAUCUGGUUUGAGAGGACGAUCAGACACACUGGAACUGAGACACGGUCCAGACUCCUACGGGAGGCAGCAGUGGGGAAUUUUCCGCAAUGGGCGAAAGCCUGACGGAGCAAUACCGCGUGAGGGAAGACUGCCUAUGGGUUGUAAACCUCUUUUUUCAGGGAGGAGUCAAUGACGUGUACCUGAAGAAUAAGC